UACGGAGGGUGCAAGCGUUGCUCGGAAUUAUUGGGCGUAAAGGGCAGGUAGGUGGUCUCGUUUGUCUGGGGUGAAAGCCUUGAGCUUAACUCAAGAAGUGCCCCAGAAACGGCGAGACUAGAGUUCUGGAGAGGGUCGUGGAAUUCCCGGUGUAGCGGUGAAAUGCGUAGAGAUCGGGAGGAACACCAGAGGCGAAGGCGGCGACCUGGACAGAUACUGACACUCAACUGCGAAAGCGUGGGGAGCAAACAGG
RNAcentral lists this ribosomal RNA (253 nucleotides) under uncultured bacterium. RNAcentral describes it as "partial 16S ribosomal RNA". It matches the Rfam family "Bacterial small subunit ribosomal RNA", at positions 524 to 776 of the family's 1533-position model. The record is from RNAcentral.